This 63-nucleotide transfer RNA is filed under the name Kurthia senegalensis. It matches the Rfam family "tRNA", at positions 5 to 66 of the family's 71-position model. From Rfam's summary of the family: Transfer RNA (tRNA) molecules are approximately 80 nucleotides in length. The record is from RNAcentral. Lineage: Bacteria; Bacillati; Bacillota; Bacilli; Caryophanales; Caryophanaceae.
GGGUGGAGCAGUGGUAGCUCGUCGGGCUCAUAACCCGAAGGUCGCAGGUUCAAAUCCUGUCCC